CCAUUUGUGAGGCAAUUUGCCAAGAGAAGAAUCGAGCAACUUACCUCCUCCUGGGCAGCCCUUAACCUCAAGUCGCACAAGCUCAGAGGAGUAAAGUCAUGCUCCUGAGCUCCCCACGGGAUCGGGUGCAACAAGACCGGCAUUAAGCCUGAAAUUAUAUCCUUGCUGGGCUUCUUCAUU
This is a non-coding RNA of Callorhinus ursinus (northern fur seal), 180 nucleotides long. Lineage: Eukaryota; Metazoa; Chordata; Mammalia; Carnivora; Otariidae. The record is from RefSeq and is a predicted model, not a curated record.